This 1150-nucleotide long non-coding RNA is filed under the name Vulpes vulpes (red fox). RNAcentral describes it as "lncRNA (ENSVVUG00000001902.1)". The record is from RNAcentral. Lineage: Eukaryota; Metazoa; Chordata; Mammalia; Carnivora; Canidae.
AAAUAGUUGAUUGAAUGAAGGAGAGGCCCUGGCUUUGUCUUAUUGUUUCGGAAUCAUGUGUUUAAUAGCUCCUUUGCUUCCAGAAAUUACCUUCUGUUGCUGGAUAUGUCUGCAAUGGAAUUUGCUGAACAGCAUAACUUUGCUUUUAUGGGCAUUCACUUGUAGGACAGUUAAUAAUAUCCUGUGCCUGCCUCCUCACUGGGCCGUGACAAGGCUGCUCGGGAGACUCAAAAAGAAGGCUUCUGUGCUCCUCUCUGGGGAGAGUUCCUGCUUCAAGUCACAGCUGGUAUGAGAACUGGGAAAGAACAUGGAUGUGGAGUGGGAAGACGUGAAUAAGCUACAAGUGAGAGACUUGAAAGGCAGAAACUGAAAUUGUCAGACAGGACAUAAUGAUACCCUCACUGCAUAUUCCCUAGAUUUUGAAGCCUGAGGGUCCAACUUCCUCUUCUCCUCAUUUGAUCAGAUCAAUCAAAAACUCAGAAUUAAUUUUUCUUCCAAAGGGGGAGCAUGUCACACUUUACCUCCUAUAUUAAAGGAAUACCUGGAAUUAGGUUCAAUAGUGGAUUGAAUCCAUAUUCCUGCCUCCUAUUCAUCUCAAUGAAAAAUGAUGUCUCUAACAGUGCUGGAAAAUAAGAAGAGGUGUUUGGUGUUUUUGGUGGACCAGAAAGUGAGAAACUCCUAAAAGAUGGAAAAUAGCCAGGAAGAACUACAGUCCACAACUUUCAACAGAGAACUGCUACCAAAGAUGGGAGUGGCUUUGGAGGGGUUUCAGAAGAAAAUUUAAGAAGUAGGAGGUAGCUUUGUGGAAGCUCCCAGGGAAAGGACUGGGGCACCUGACUUGGAGCAGCUGGGUUCUGUGCCUAGCAGUGGCAAGGAGAGGUGCAUACCCCAGGAAGGAGCCACAUGUGGAAUGCUCCAGAGACGGAGCAGAUGUCCUUGUGGCUGCCACACCACGAGAAACCAGGAGCCCAGAAGCCCUGCUCCUGUGACAGUCUGCUGGAAGCUCAUCCUGCCCUCCUCUCACCAUCUCAGGAGGCAUGCUGUGGUAAAACCUGUGGAGAAAAAUUAUAGAGACCUUCUAAUGUUCUUUAUGAGAUUUUGAGUACCAUCUAAUUUUUUUAACUUAUGUGAAAGCAUUACUUGGACAGCA